GACGAACGCUGGCGGUGUGCUUAACACAUGCAAGUGGUGCGACGAACCAGAGCUUGCUCUGGGGCAAAGCCGCGAACGGGUGAGUAACACGUGGGUAAUCUACCCCGAUGACCGGGGCAACCCGAGGAAACUCGGGCUAAUACCGGAUGUGGUGCGGAGACAUAAGUCUCUUCACUAAAGGUAGCUUCGGCUUCCGCAUUGGGAGGGGCCCGCGGCCCAUUAGCUUGUUGGUGGGGUCAAGGCCUACCAAGGCAACGAUGGGUAGCUGGUCUGAGAGGACGAUCAGCCACACUGGGACUGAGACACGGCCCAGACUCCUACGGGAGGCAGCAGUGGGGAAUCUUGCGCAAUGCGCGAAAGCGUGACGCAGCAACACCGCGUGAGGGAAGAAGGCCUUAGGGUUGUAAACCUCUUUCAGAUGGGACGAAGGUUCUCCGGUGAAUAGCCGAGAGGAUUGACGGUACCGUCAGAAGAAGCUCCGGCUAACUACGUG
This 493-nucleotide ribosomal RNA is filed under the name uncultured bacterium. Its description in RNAcentral is "partial 16S ribosomal RNA". It matches the Rfam family "Bacterial small subunit ribosomal RNA", at positions 28 to 507 of the family's 1533-position model. The record is from RNAcentral.